RNAcentral lists this ribosomal RNA (490 nucleotides) under uncultured bacterium. RNAcentral's name for it is "partial 16S ribosomal RNA". It matches the Rfam family "Bacterial small subunit ribosomal RNA", at positions 30 to 507 of the family's 1533-position model. The record is from RNAcentral.
AUUGAACGCUGGCGGCAUGCUUUACACAUGCAAGUCGGACGGCAGCACAGAGAAGCUUGCUUCUUGGGUGGCGAGUGGCGAACGGGUGAGUAACAUAUCGGAACGUACCGAGCAGUAGGGGAUAACUAAUCGAAAGAUUAGCUAAUACCGCAUAUUUUCUGAGGAAGAAAGCAGGGGACCUUUGGGCCUUGCGCUGUUUGAGCGGCCGAUAUCUGAUUAGCUAGUUGGUGGGGUAAAGGCCUACCAAGGCGACGAUCAGUAGCGGGUCUGAGAGGAUGAUCCGCCACACUGGGACUGAGACACGGCCCAGACUCCUACGGGAGGCAGCAGUGGGGAAUUUUGGACAAAGGGCGCAAGCCUGAUCCAGCCAUGCCGCGUGUCUGAAGAAGGCCUUCGGGUUGUAAAGGACUUUUGUCAGGGAAGAAAAGGGCGGGGUUAAUACCCCUGUCUGAUGACGGUACCUGAAGAAUAAGCACCGGCUAACUACGUG